This 1405-nucleotide long non-coding RNA is filed under the name Mytilus galloprovincialis (Mediterranean mussel). Lineage: Eukaryota; Metazoa; Mollusca; Bivalvia; Mytilida; Mytilidae. The record is from RNAcentral.
UUGGUCCUCAAUGCUCUUCAACAUCGUACAUUAUUUGGCCUCUUUUACUUUUUUGGAUUCGAGCGUCACUGAUGAGUCUUUUGUAGACGAAACGCGCGUCUGGCGUAUAUAUAAGAUUUAGUCCUGGUAUCUAUGAGUUUAUUUAUAACCACUGGGUCGAUGACACUGCUGGUGGAGAUUUAUUUCCCCGAGGGUAUUACAAGCCCAGUAGUCAGCACUGCUUUUGUGCUGACAUGAAUUAUCAUUGACCUUGUUAUAUUUAUAAAUUAACUGUUUACAAAAUUUAGAAUUUUUUGAAAUACUAAGGCUUUUCUACCUCAGGCAUAGAUUACCUUAGCAAAACUUUUAUGAAUUUUGGUCCUCAAUGCUCUUCAACAUCGUACAUUAUUUGGCCUCUUUUAUUUUUUUGGAUUCGAGCGUCACUGAUGAGUCUUUUGUAGACGAAACGCGCGUCUGGCGUAUAUAUAAAAUUUAGUCCUGGUAUCUAUGAUGAGUUUAUUUAUAAGAUUUAUUCAUAGAACACAAUUUCAUUACAGAAUAGCUUGAUGUAAACAUCAACAAUCUUUUAAAUUUUAGGUUAUUUUUGUUUGCAUAAACGGAAUAUGUGGUUCUGGACAUUCUUGAACAAUUAAGAGGCUGUCCAAGUAAAUAUCAGGCAAAUCCUAUGAUAUUGGUGGCACAACCUAAUCUUUCCCACUGAAUUUUUGGUUCCAAUGCAAUGUUUAUAUAAUACAAAGGAUAUAUUUAAAAGAUAUUUUUGAAUCAACAGUGGAUGGUUAUCAAAAGUACCAGGAUUAUAAUUUAGUACGCCAGACGCGCGUUUCGUCUACAUAAGACUCAUCAGUGAAGCUCAUAUCGAAAUAGUUAUAAAGCCAAACAAGAACAAAGCUGAAGAGCAUUGAGGGUCCAAAUUUCCAAAAAGUUGUGCCAAAUACGGCAAAGGUUUUCUAUUUCUUAUUUAGAUUGCUCAGAAAAUGAUUUUAAAGUUCACUAACAAUGCCAAUAAAUUUUGUACAAAAUGAAGAGCUAUCUCCCCUUUUCAAUGAAUUUUCAGUGCUUUCUAUGUAUUUUUUUCUCUUUAUUUGUUGCAGUAAAUAAAAAAACAAAAUUUAACUUUAAGAAAGAAUAAAUUUGUGAUAUGAAAUAGAUAACAAAAAAUUUGAAAACAAAAUAUGUCAUGUGCCACCCACUGCCUGAUUUUUCAAUGGACACUGACCCUCUUAAAUGUUACCGUCUGUAUACAGUAAAAUUUCACAAUCAUUCUAAAAACAAAAUAUUCUGAAGAAAAUCUUCAAGGCUGCAUCUUUAGUAUGCUUAAAUCGUCAUUUUGUUUUGUUCAUUAACAACCUUUCUCCUCUUUGAAGAUUUCAAGCAAUGUCUGAACCUCACUUUCUUUACAUAUCUU